GUGAACCAAAGAGAUUUAAGAUUCUAUCCUUGAGAUGGAGUUUGGGCCUGGAGGAAGCUGACUUUUGGGGUGGUAAUCAUGGUUCCCUAGUGCACAAUACACUUUAGUAUCUGAAAAAAAAGCACACAAUAAAAAAGCUUUAUUUGUUGA
Molecule: long non-coding RNA, 150 nt
Organism: Fundulus heteroclitus (mummichog)
Lineage: Eukaryota; Metazoa; Chordata; Actinopteri; Cyprinodontiformes; Fundulidae
Exons: 2
Source: RefSeq, a predicted model, not a curated record